CCUACGGGAGGCAGCAGUGAGGAAUAUUGGUCAAUGGACGAGAGUCUGAACCAGCCAAGUAGCGUGAAGGAUGACUGCCCUGUGGGUUGUAAACUUCUUUUAUAUGGGAAUAAAACGUUCCACGUGUGGGAUUUUGUAUGUACCAUAUGAAUAAGGAUCGGCUAACUCCGUGCCAGCAGCCGCGGUAAUACGGAGGAUCCGAGCGUUAUCCGGAUUUAUUGGGUUUAAAGGGAGCGUAGGUGGAUUGUUAAGUCAGUUGUGAAAGUUUGCGGCUCAACCGUAAAAUUGCAGUUGAAACUGGCAGUCUUGAGUACAGUAGAGGUGUGCGGAAUGCGUGGUGUAGCGGUGAAAUGCUUAGAUAUCACGAAGAACUCCGAUUGCGAAGGCAGUUCACUGGACUGCAACUGACACUGAGGCUCGAAAGUGUGGGUAUCAAACAGGAUUAGAUACCCCUGUAGUC
RNAcentral lists this ribosomal RNA (460 nucleotides) under uncultured bacterium. RNAcentral's name for it is "partial 16S ribosomal RNA". It matches the Rfam family "Bacterial small subunit ribosomal RNA", at positions 338 to 795 of the family's 1533-position model. The record is from RNAcentral.